CCUACGGGUGGCAGCAGUGAGGAAUAUUGGUCAAUGGACGCAAGUCUGAACCAGCCAUGCCGCGUGAAGGAAGACGGCCCUAUGAGUUGUAAACUGCUUUUGUACGAGGGUAAACGCAGAUACGUGUAUCUGUCUGAAAGUAUCGUACGAAUAAGGAUCGGCUAACUCCGUGCCAGCAGCCGCGGUAAUACGGAGGAUUCAAGCGUUAUCCGGAUUUAUUGGGUUUAAAGGGUGCGUAGGCGGUCGGAUAAGUUAGAGGUGAAAUCCCGAGGCUCAACCUCGGAAUUGCCUCUGAUACUGUUAGGCUAGAGAGUAGUAGCGGUAGGCGGAAGGUAUGGUGUAGCGGUGAAAUGCUUAGAGAUCACACAGAACACCGAUUGCGAAGGCAGCGUACCAAGCUACUACUGACGUUGAGGCACGAAAGCGUGGGUAUCAAACAGGAUUAGAUACCCGUGUAGUC
Molecule: ribosomal RNA, 460 nt
Filed under: uncultured bacterium
Lineage: Bacteria
Description: partial 16S ribosomal RNA
Rfam family: Bacterial small subunit ribosomal RNA
Source: RNAcentral